UAAAAAUCUAACUCAGCAGCAUGUGAAGUUUGGAGCACCACUGCACCUCACACCACCCUUCACAUCCUAUACAUAUGCUCUGUUAUAAACCUUAGCAGCACUUCAAGCAGUUGUUCGAAAAACCCCUAUACAAAUUCCAUAUCAUUACAGCACAAAAGAAACCAUCCAUGCAAGGUGGGAACAUUUGAUGACGACAAGGUUCUUUAAUGGUCUCACUUGAGUAAGGUAAUAAUUUACUUUUCCUGCCAGAGAGAAAUGUAAUUCAGCAGGUGACCUGCUAGCUAAAGGGGUUUUAUUGAUCCUUUGGAAUUUACAGUGCAUUAAUAAUGUUAAGACUUUCAGUAUGCAUCACAUGCCCAAAGCCUCUGAAAACAAAUGGCCUUGAUGAUGCUUUUUAAACAUCACAUUAUGUUGUGCGAAGGGGCUUGUUAACCUAACGUUAACAAAACCCUUUGAUUGUGUGAUUAAAUGUGCAUUUUCAUGGGUCAUAAAGAAACUCUUACCUGACCCUGAAUCUUCA
Long non-coding RNA from Cyprinus carpio carpio, 520 nucleotides. NCBI's taxonomy places the organism in Eukaryota, Metazoa, Chordata, Actinopteri, Cypriniformes, Cyprinidae. The record is from Ensembl.